This 873-nucleotide long non-coding RNA is filed under the name Anas platyrhynchos platyrhynchos (common mallard). RNAcentral describes it as "lncRNA (ENSAPLG00000020695.1)". The record is from RNAcentral. Lineage: Eukaryota; Metazoa; Chordata; Aves; Anseriformes; Anatidae.
CUUGAUGGCCUAUAGCUACACUUCAGGUCAUUAACCCCAGCUGGUCAUUAGUUCCCAGAAAAUGCCCAGCACCAAAGUCAUUAUUACUGCUUGAAGCAGGUAAAAAAAAAAAAAAGAAAAAAAAAAGGAAAAAAGGAAAAAAUAACACACACAACAAACAGCCAAACAUAACAAAGAAUUCCUCAGCAGCUCUAUAUGUAUUAUCAUAGACUAUAUUGGGUUGGAAGGGCCCUUAAAGAACAUCUGGUUCCAACCAUGGGCAGGGACACCUCCCACUAGAUCAGGUUGUCCAAAGCCCCAUCCAGCCUGGCCUUGAACACCUCCAGGGAUGGGGCAUGCACAGCCUCUCCGGGCACUUUGUGUCAGAAUUUCCUCCUAAAAUCUAAUCUAAAUCUACUGUCUUUUAGUUGAAAACCAUUCCCCCUUGUCCUUUCAUUAUCCACCUGAGUAAAUAGUCUUUUAUAUAGAGGAGUUCUCCAUCUUUUUUAUAAGACCUCUUUAAGUACUGAAAGGUUACAAUGAGGUCUUGCCUUUGUCUUCUCUCCUUUAGGCUGAACAUCGCCAGCUCUCUCAGCCUGUCUUCAUAGAAGAGGCACUCCAGCCCUCCAGUCACCUUUGUGGCCGUCCUCUGGAACCGCUCCACAUCCUGCUUGUGCUGGGGGCCCCAGACCUGGAUGCAACACUGCAAGUGGGGUCUCACAAAGGCAGAGCAGAGGGGGACAAUCACCUCCCUUCCCUGCUGGCUACUUCUUGUUUGAUGCAACCCAGGAUACAACUGGCUGUAUUAUGGUCAAGGUUCAACAUUUCAAAGGAUGGUCCAGAAGAAGAUCCCUGGACAGACAAGCCAGCCUUCUGCCCCAUCUAUGAAUACAG